Molecule: transfer RNA, 71 nt
Filed under: Trichechus manatus latirostris (Florida manatee)
Lineage: Eukaryota; Metazoa; Chordata; Mammalia; Sirenia; Trichechidae
Description: tRNA-Gly (TCC) (tRNA-Gly-TCC-4-1)
Rfam family: tRNA
About the family: Transfer RNA (tRNA) molecules are approximately 80 nucleotides in length. Their secondary structure includes four short double-helical elements and three loops (D, anti-codon, and T loops).
Source: Rfam by way of RNAcentral
GCAGUGGUGGUUCAGUGGUAGAAUUCUCACCUUCCACGUGGGAGACCCGGGUUCGAUUCCCGGCCAAUGCA